Acanthosepion pharaonis is the source of this 111-nucleotide non-coding RNA. The record is from the annotation of a GenBank genome assembly. NCBI's taxonomy places the organism in Eukaryota, Metazoa, Mollusca, Cephalopoda, Sepiida, Sepiidae.
UACAGCCAUAUCACAUUGAAAGACCAGUUCCUGUAUGAUCACUGAAGUUAAGCAACACUGAGCCUGGUCAGUAGCUAGAUGGGUGACCACCUAGGAAUACAAAGUGCUGUA